UCAACCCCCCUUCAAUCUUGGGAAAAAUUUUGUCUGAAACAGAGCGAAGUUUCCCAAGAAAGCGACCUAGACCUUGAAUUUUUCUUUAAGAGACGUUCCGAUCAUUUGGAAGCAGAAAGGAGGUGAGAUAGUUGGGAGUCAGAGCAGGGGAGUAGCUUGCAGAGGUUCUCAGCAAGACUGCUGCAGUGAGGGGUGGCUCUGCUCCCGGCCGAGGCCCUGAGCCGCGUCUCCGGGAGGCCCGGCCCGGCCCGAGGCGGUCCCGACGGCCCUCAUUCCGCCGGUGAAGAGCCUGGGGACUGAGGAAAGGGCCGCCCCGGCCGCCGUUUACCCGCAGGGCUUUGGCCCGAGGCCCGCUCUCACUUCUACCAAGUUCAGCGUUCUUUGCAGCAGCAGGAGAGAGAGCGGAGUCGGGUGCCAGGGCUCAGACGCCCUGGGCACAGCCUGAGAGUCUGAGAGAAGAGAGAAACAGAAAAGCCGGACUCAGGAGGUGAGCAGCAGUCUCAGCCUCCCGCGACCCCAGCCUCCUCCUCCCUCUGCCAGCAGGGUCGGCAGCAGAGGACGGGCCAGGUUUUCCCCUAAAUAGGAGGUUCUUCUUAUUUGGAACUCUGGGAUUCCAGGCCCUGGAUGUGCUUCCUUCCCCAGGUUAAGAAGUUUCCAGCAAUUAUUUCUUCAAGUAACUUUUCUGCCCGUUUCCCUUCUCCUUCUGGGACCCCUGUAAUGUGGAUGUUAUUCUGCUUCGUGUUCCCCAUAAGCCCCUUAUGCUAUCUUAGUAUUCGAGUUUAUUACUCACAUCAGGUUAUUUUGGAAAAUUGGCUAAAAUGAGAAAUGAUAAGGUUAAAGCCACAUCGAUCUGUUCAUCCAGUCUCAUGACACGAGCUGCGUGUGACUUUAAAGGCCUGAGCUCAGGUACUAUUUUAACCACGUACCGACUAUUUCUCUAGCAAUGAGGACAGAAGACACUCAGCAGAAUGGAUUGUUCCUGUUCGCUGAUACACAACACGAUUCAGUCGGAAAGCAACUGAAGGGUGUCUUCAAUUCGUGCUGCAGAUUUGCAAAUCAGCUACUGUUAUGUGCAGCUUGAAGGAAGAAGGAGCCCUUCACCCAAACCCAGAACCACUCCACACAAAAACACAGCUGUGCUCCAAAAGGAGAAGUCUGGGGACACCCUGUAAGCUGCAUCCCACCGAACCUGAGGUCGUGUCUCAUCUGCGCUUCUCCUGGGGCCAUUCAAGGGUCAGACUGGCCAUGGAGUAAGCACCAUUAUAGGCCUUCAAGAAGAUAAGACAAUUUAUUAUUCCCGUCUCAGCCAAAAAUGUUCAUGAAAAUCA
Mustela erminea (ermine) is the source of this 1328-nucleotide long non-coding RNA. RefSeq lists it as uncharacterized. The transcript has 2 exons. Lineage: Eukaryota; Metazoa; Chordata; Mammalia; Carnivora; Mustelidae. The record is from RefSeq and is a predicted model, not a curated record.